Triticum aestivum (bread wheat) is the source of this 294-nucleotide long non-coding RNA. RefSeq lists it as uncharacterized. NCBI's taxonomy places the organism in Eukaryota, Viridiplantae, Streptophyta, Magnoliopsida, Poales, Poaceae. The record is from RefSeq and is a predicted model, not a curated record. The transcript has 3 exons.
CGUCCUCCUCUCUGGUUUUGCUGAUUCCGACGGCGUCGGCUAGACCUACAGGAUAUCUGUGGCAUUUGUUCUUAUUAGGGUGUCAAUGCUGGCGAUGAAAAGAUUAUUAAUGCUCUUAUUUGGGUGUCAAUGCUGGAAGCUGCUCAUGAGAAAUGUAACUUGAAGGUAUAAUAUAUCUAUUCAAUGUCGAGCCUCUGUCCCCCUCUUCCAAAAGUUUGCUUGAUCGCGCCCGCGCCAUGGCCGCCGAGCUCCUUUUUGCUCCACCCGCCAACCAGAUCGGCCGAUGAGGCGGAU